This is a long non-coding RNA of Amphiprion ocellaris (clown anemonefish), 508 nucleotides long. NCBI's taxonomy places the organism in Eukaryota, Metazoa, Chordata, Actinopteri, Pomacentridae. The record is from Ensembl.
CUUCCCUUCGCCAUGUCUCCUCCAGUCUCUCCUCUAAACUCUAUAAACUACAAUUAAAGCCCCGAAAUCCAAGCUUCCUUCCAGCCGGUUACCUGCAGGACAACUUCCGGGUUCAUGUCCGCUGUCUCCGCCCACAAGAGAGACGCCAUAAUGACUCUUGCAGCCCCAGCGCCGUUUGCCAGUGAGGUCCUUUUCCUCCACACUGACAGGGCAGGGAGCUGUGGUUGCUGCUGAAGGGCCGAGGGGACCAUGUGGCGAGGCGUCCAUCUGGGGUAACCUGAGUAAACGCAGGGUUCAAGUCUCCUCCAGUAGCAUGCUCCUCUUGCCAAGCUGCUGUCUGCAACCCACCGUGUCCACUAUCACCACCUUCAUCUCCAAAUGCGUUACUUCAUGGGUGAUCUGAACUACUGGGAGCAGGCUUGAUUGAACACAGUCUGACUGCUGCAGGAAGGAAGGACCUCCUUCAAACAUCGUGGGUGAAGCAGUCUGUCCCUGAAGGAGCUGCCGG